This is a long non-coding RNA of Passer domesticus (house sparrow), 339 nucleotides long. RefSeq lists it as uncharacterized. The transcript is spliced from 2 exons. Lineage: Eukaryota; Metazoa; Chordata; Aves; Passeriformes; Passeridae. The record is from RefSeq and is a predicted model, not a curated record.
UCCUGGCAAGGCUGACAGGGCUGGUCUGAUACCAAAGCUUGUCAAAGAGCCAUUGCUUGAUGGUGGAUUUAUGUUGACUCUUAUACACCCCAUCACAAACCUCAUCUCAGUUACCUACAUUUUUUCUUUCUGCUUUGUUUUGCUCAGAACAGCUCUGCCUGCAUAUGUCAUUUGCAGUUUGCAGGCAUCGUUGUAAUUAUCUUGGCAAUGCAGUAGCCAAACUGUCCUCUCAAAAUCAGAGUACAGUACAUGACUAUUUCUCACAGUUACCAUGCAAGUCUCAUCGAAGUUUUGUGCUUUUGCUCCAAGAAGGAUAUGUAAUAAAAGAUUGAAAUCUCA